Molecule: long non-coding RNA, 901 nt
Filed under: Helianthus annuus (common sunflower)
Lineage: Eukaryota; Viridiplantae; Streptophyta; Magnoliopsida; Asterales; Asteraceae
Source: RNAcentral
UUUGCUGAGCUUUUUUGUCACUUGCAGAGAGAGAGAGAGAUAGAGGAUAAGGAGAAAAGAGAGAGCUCAACCCUAAUUCCUUUUGUCGCCACUUCUCCACUGAUGACACCACCGGUGCCGUCGAAACCAUCUCCUCCUCUGAUAGAGCUUAUGAUCUUGGAUUUGUUAUUUAGUUCUGGCUGGAAUCCGAGUCGAUCAUUCACAACUACUAUGGCGUCUUCUAGGGUUUCAUCAAAAGUCCAAAUCUAGCAAAUCCGUUGGGUCCAUCACUAAAGCGAAGUUUCUUCAGAGAUGAGAUGAUUCUGGCUGGAAGUCGAGUCGAUCAGAGACAAUGGAUGCUCUCGGGUUUCUGAAGGUUUUAUGAUCUCUGUUGUGUAUGCUGCUGCCUAUGGUGGCAACUGUAUUUCGUGAAGAAAUUGUUACUGAAAGAUUGGCAUGAAUUAGGAGAGGAAAUGGUGCUUUCCUUAACGGAAAUCCUAUCAAAGUAUCUUCACUCUGAACUGGUGAAGUGUCUCGUUACCAUAGAGGCUGGAACAAAGCGUGAUAAGGCCACUCUGGAUGCCACUACAAAUAGAAUCAAUAGCCGACUUCACAAGGUAAGAUCAAUCAGGAUGGGUGGCUCCUAUGCAUUGGGUCUCUGUGGGGUUGCAUGUGGAAGGAAUGAUCUAUUUAUGAGAUCGGCAUUGGUGGUCUUUGGUAUGGAACUCCUUUUUUGUUUUUCCGUUUAUUGAAAUGGCAAUUUUAACCAGUUCGUGUCGAAAGGGUAGAUUCCGGUUAUGUUUUAUCUCCAACGGGUCAAUUGGGUAAAAUAAAAAAUGUGUAUCUAAAACGGAAGUCAGUCAAAUGGCUCAAGAGUCGCUCAAAAUGUAUUUUCAUUUUUUGAUGCAUAAGGUCCUAAAUC